GACGAACGCUGGCGGCGUGCCUAACACAUGCAAGUCGAGCGAAUGAAGUUCCUUCGGGAACGGAUUUAGCGGCGGACGGGUGAGUAACACGUGGGCAACCUGCCUCAUAGAGGGGAAUAGCCUUCCGAAAGGGAGAUUAAUACCGCAUAAGAUUGUAGUACCGCAUGGUACAGCAAUUAAAGGAGCAAUCCGCUAUGAGAUGGGCCCGCGGCGCAUUAGCUAGUUGGUGAGGUAACGGCUCACCAAGGCGACGAUGCGUAGCCGACCUGAGAGGGUGAUCGGCCACAUUGGGGCUGGGCCACGGCCCAGACUCCUACGGGAGGCAGCAGUGGGGAAUAUUGCACAAUGGGGGAAACCCUGAUGCAGCAACGCCGCGUGAGUGAUGACGGCCUUCGGGUUGUAAAGCUCUGUCUUCAGGGACGAUAAUGACGGUACCUGAGGAGGAAGCCACGGCUAACUACGUG
Molecule: ribosomal RNA, 464 nt
Filed under: uncultured bacterium
Lineage: Bacteria
Description: partial 16S ribosomal RNA
Rfam family: Bacterial small subunit ribosomal RNA
Source: RNAcentral